Molecule: ribosomal RNA, 486 nt
Filed under: uncultured bacterium
Lineage: Bacteria
Description: partial 16S ribosomal RNA
Rfam family: Bacterial small subunit ribosomal RNA
Source: RNAcentral
AUUGAACGCUGGCGGCAUGCCUUACACAUGCAAGUCGAACGGCAGCACGGGUGCUUGCACCUGGUGGCGAGUGGCGAACGGGUGAGUAAUACAUCGGAACAUGUCCUGUAGUGGGGGAUAGCCCGGCGAAAGCCGGAUUAAUACCGCAUACGAUCUACGGAUGAAAGCGGGGGACCUUCGGGCCUCGCGCUAUAGGGUUGGCCGAUGGCUGAUUAGCUAGUUGGUGGGGUAAAGGCCUACCAAGGCGACGAUCAGUAGCUGGUCUGAGAGGACGACCAGCCACACUGGGACUGAGACACGGCCCAGACUCCUACGGGAGGCAGCAGUGGGGAAUUUUGGACAAUGGGCGAAAGCCUGAUCCAGCAAUGCCGCGUGUGUGAAGAAGGCCUUCGGGUUGUAAAGCACUUUUGUCCGGAAAGAAAUCCUUGGCCCUAAUACGGUCGGGGGAUGACGGUACCGGAAGAAUAAGCACUGGCUAACUACGUG